GAUCAGGUGCAGCAGGGAAUGGAUCCAGAGCAGCAAGGGGAUCAGAAGUGGAGUUAGGUACCAGAAAUUAGCAGAGCUGGCUGCUGUCGAAUCAAACCUAUCCUCCUUGAGUUCUGCCUUUCUGGGGGAUUUGUGCACUGUACUGCCAUCAGCCGAGUGAGAAGUUAAAGGAGAAAAAGUUUGCCCCGUGGUGAUGCAGAAGGGUUUGGAGUUGGUUUGGAAGAAGACCUUGAAACUAGCCUACCUCUCAGGGCUGUUGUGAGGAUGACAUGGGGAAAGGGUCCACGGAGGCUGCCGAGGCUCCUCGGAGGAAGGACUGGCUAUCAAUAGCUGUAUACUUUCCCCUCCUUCUCGGCCCUCCCAUGCGAUCGGAUCCAGAGUGAAAUCCAGGCAGUGCAUUUGAAAUUCCUUCCUCUAUGGUUCUGUAAUCUGGUUUACCUCUCUGGAAGCAAUCGGUGUACUGAACAGCUCUAACAACAGUAGGGCGAGACUGUUUCCUUCACAUGUUUAAGUUGGACGUCGUUUCUAGUAAAAGACUCUCUCUCUUCCACCAAUGCCUUUGAACAAAUCUCAGCCAGGGUGCAAAGCAAGAGGGCCCUAUGACGCCGGAGCCAGUGUUCUCUCUAAGGCAUGCACACGUUUGUGCUCUGACAAGCUUUUUUUAAUGUCUGCUCAGUUCAUUUUAGAGCCUGCUCAGCUUGAAUCAGGAAGCCUCCGCUCUGAAGGCACGUAGGCACACACGGCCUUGAUACAGCAUGAAAAACAUUAGAGUGAACACUGUUAGGAGCCUGUGGUGAGCCCGAAACAUAAACCUGUUGGGCUACUCCAAAAAGCAAGACAUCCCAGAUGCUUUCACAUA
Molecule: long non-coding RNA, 859 nt
Organism: Hemicordylus capensis (graceful crag lizard)
Lineage: Eukaryota; Metazoa; Chordata; Lepidosauria; Squamata; Cordylidae
Exons: 3
Source: RefSeq, a predicted model, not a curated record